CCUUUCCCCGGUUUACAUGCAUGUCUGGCUUGGACUUCGAUAUCAAUCUACAAUGACACAAGGACCUCAAACUCCACCUCCUGACACACAUACUACAAAGCAGAUGUGUGAGCAAACAGGAGGACAAUUCAUUUUCAAGAUGAGAGGAAUUAUACUACUCUUGCUGUUUGGAACUGUUGUGGUAGCGAAACCAAAACCAGCUACAGUUGACAUAUCGGAUAAAAAAGGAGUUAUAUUCUUGAUGGAUAAUAUCCAUGGCUUUAACACAACAACCAACUCAUCAACGGUAACACUGCCAAGCAAAGAACUGGACCAUGCAGAGAAUGGUACUGUGAUUCCAGUUGAAAAUUCUGCUGGAUUUGCUCCAAAAACUGUUGACAAUGAGGACACACAGUGGAAUGGUGUAGUGCGGCCAAUUGAAAAUUCUUUUGGGUUUGCACCAAAACCUGCUGACAAAGAGGACACACAGGGGAAUACAGAAGAGUGAAAAUGACACAGCAGAGGGUUCAACUCAACAGAUCCAAACACAUAUGAAGUCCUAACUGAGUACAGCCAUCAGAAUGAGGAACCAGCAGGGGAUUUCUUCAUCCUGUUAUGCUUCUUCUCCUCAAUAAACAUUUCAUUUGAAACUAUUGUGUGAAAUUUCUGUCUCAUUUCCUAAUUUAGCUGAUGUGGACCAACUUCGAAGAGGUGAGUUCAGUUUUAAUAUUUCAUUCCCAAUUUGACC
Long non-coding RNA from Amphiprion ocellaris (clown anemonefish), 727 nucleotides. The record is from Ensembl. NCBI's taxonomy places the organism in Eukaryota, Metazoa, Chordata, Actinopteri, Pomacentridae.